AAUCAUAAUGUUCCAGCAACUGAAAGUAACAGACAAGAAGAUUCUAAAUAGUGAUAAAAUGCAAUGUCCAUACAUAAAAGUGUCAUCUGCAAAGGGGUGAAAAGGCUAAAAAAAAUUAAAGCUAUACUUGUCCACAUGCAGGUAUUUACAUAACACAGUUUCAUCAUAAGUUGUACAUAGUUAUCUAGGUUAUUCUAAUGCAGCCAACAAAAAGGACUCACAGUGUAAGGGAGGGUUUUUACAAAUUGUGCAAGUGAUACACCUGAAGAGAAAAAUACAAUCAAACUACUUGCGGUUUCGAGCAUCUCUUUAUCUCCCUACCGAUCGUAACUACAAAAAAGAGGAGAUUACUAUAUGCAAUCGAAACAAUAAAGCAAAACAGAAAAAAGGGUUGCAACUUUCUUGGAUGUGUAAUUCCUUUCAUGAAUCCAAAGUCCUCAAUGAAGCACCAAAA
This 454-nucleotide long non-coding RNA is filed under the name Capsicum annuum. Its description in RNAcentral is "long non-coding RNA (CANN_LNC021809)". Lineage: Eukaryota; Viridiplantae; Streptophyta; Magnoliopsida; Solanales; Solanaceae. The record is from RNAcentral.